CCUCUCGGACCUGGGCAGCCUGCGGCAGACCGGACCGCGACCGCUGGGCGCAGCUCGGCCCGGGAGCGUUCGAGUCCCGCCGCCAGAGCAUCCUCCCGGCCCGGCGCACAGGUGUAGUUUUGAAGAGAACUAGAGGAAGGUAAUCCAAACAGAAGAUGCUCCAGGUGUAGAGGCCAUCAAAAGGGAAAGGAUAUUGAGUGGCAUCAUGCAAGAAUUGGCAAGAACAAGCACCUUAGGAAAGAUGCAAAAAGGGAACCAUGAAGAAAGCAGGUGAGCCAUAAACUGGAAAGAGCCUGGAUCCCAGCUUGGAAGGGAACAGCCUUGAAAAGUUGGCUGACCUAAAGACUUUAUCACUCUACUGAACAGGACCCAAGAAGAUGCCAUACUGAUACUGUCCUGUGUGGCCAAAAAAUCCACAGAAAAUACUCUUGCAUCAUUUUCCCUGGUAAUCUCUGGAAUAAAAGCUGGUUCCAAUGUGGCAGUGCUCUCAAGGCUCUGAUUCCCUAAACUGCCGAGACCAGCUCAGCAGGAUGGGGCUGAAGAACAGAUGUCAGCUCUCUCCUUGAUAUCUUCUGACUGCAGACUGCAGACAGUAAAAUACCUCCAAGGGGUAUCCUGGAAGAGCCCUCACUAGAAUUGAGCCUUAGAGGCUACGUGUCAAAGUUGGAAGAAGCCUGGCCCCUGAAUCGGUGCUCGGCAGAGAGCCUACUUCAGGUCAGAGGAAGGAGAUUUGGAGACAAGUGAGGAACGUCUGUAUUCCUGUAUCGCAGAGAAGGAAGAGGAAAUGAAGCUGAUGGGCCUUUUGGUGACAAUAGGUAAUAUACACCAACACACUUACAUGCAACAGAAUUUAGAUGGGCAAGUGCAGGACAGAAAUGAGUUGUAUACACUUGAAGAAAAAGCAGGAAAAUCGUAGCUCAAGAUUUCAGGGAGGUCUAAUAACAUAGGAGGGAGGCAGAGCAACUGAGCACCAGUGAGAAACUAAAGAGAAAUGAAAUAUUGAUGGUUGCAAGAUUUCUAGGCCUGGCAGUAUCUACUUUUGAACUGGAAAUUGCUUCUUAUCUGAUAUUUUAUCUACUGAUUCUUCACCAACCCAAUUUUCUACUAGAAUUUCAGUAAAACUUCAAUAUACAUGAAAGCUUUGUAUCCGUGAUAUUUUGGAUGAAAUGCAUGUACAAGGCAUGUAAAAGUCAAAAUCAUAUUGUUUUUAUAGAAAUUUUUCUUAUUGGAGUGCCAACUUUUAAGUAAUGAAUUCCUUAGUUUGAAAGGGACUUGGACAUUUUUAUGCAUAUAUUUUUGUAUACAAUUCUAUUGUCUUAAUGACAAAGGCCCCACCUAAAGACAUUGCUUGAUUGCAAUUGACACUCUUUGUUAAGAAACAUUGAUGCUUGUUAUAUCUUCAUUCACACAUUUUUAGGCCUAUUCUCUUCCAGUUAAACAACUUGUACAUGAAGUUUUCAGUCCUGGCAGUUUCGCAAGUUAAUUCACCCAUAUGAUAGCUGAAGUUGCCGCCACAAUAGCCCUGAAUUUUCUGAGUUCUGAGUCCUUCUCAGACUGGGGCCACUUAGCGGUGUCGACAUCCUUGUCUUUUACCUUUUACCUUGAGCCCCUCUGAGCUUGAUGAUCUCUAAAUCUGGCAGUGGAACAGGUGAGAGGAGCUGAGCAGCAAGGUCAGCAAAGGCCAGCUGAACCCCUCAGCUCCAUUCAUGCUGGUCAUUGAGAUGCCCAUGUUUGAACAUUGCAGAAGUCCUGAGAAGCGAUUUUUUUCAAAUUGUAAACUUUACCUUACUUAGCCCUUAGAUGCUCUGUGAAAUAGAAUUUUUAUCAUGAGCCUCACUAUAAAGAUGAAAAAACCGAGACUCAGACAAGGCUCCUGGUCAUGAACUAAUAUGUGGCAACCUAAGGUUGCAUUAGCUUGUUUUCCUGCUGUAUCUGCUCUCUGAUUCUUAAACAUCCUGAAGAACAAACAUGAUAGUUUGAAUUACAUCUCAUCAACUUUAUCCCCCUCUUCCUCUUUUCACUCUGGUGCAGUUGUUCAUGGGAUUUAGGCCAAAACAAAGUGAGAGGAGGGAAAAGGAAGGAGACACAGUGAGACAUGGUACCUAAGAAUUAACCACAUUAUCCUGGGAAUAGACCAGAGGUCCGUCCAUCUGAAAUCUUAGACUGCAAUUGUGAAUUGUGGAAAUUUUGUGAUCUCUUCAAAUAUUAAUGACUGAAAUAGAACAAAGCAGACAUACUCCUGUGACUUACAAGUUUGAGAUGCACUCAUCUCUACUUCCCCAGAGUCAAGUAUUUCAUAAACAUUAUUUAAGUCAUCCAACAGUUUUAUUCAUUCCACUUUGAAGUGGAAACAAAUCUGAAAUUCAAAAAGGCAGUAAAUUUAGGUCAAAGUCAUACUUGACUCUAAUGAAAACGGGUAUAAUUUAGUUGAGUUUCAGUUCAUCUGGGCAAAUGCCCAAGGGCAUAGCUUGCUAUGUUGCUAUGGCCUUCUGUGUGCUCACCUUCCUCCUUCUGAUCUCUCUACUUCCUCCUCCUCUUCCCUAAGUCCAUCCUUCUUGUCUCUCCAGCAUAAAACUCCCUGCCCAGUAAGUCCCUAUGUCUGAAGAGUAAAUAACAUACCCCUUAGUCUGGUAUUUCAUAUGUACCCCUAAUCUACCUUUUCAACUUCUACUAAACACUUUUUGAGCUCUGCACCUUCUCUACAUUUUUAGGUCUCCACACCUUUUCAUGUGAUGGUCCUUCCUCCUUGAGACCCCUGUAUUCGUCUCCAGUUUCCACAGGCCCUUUGCUUCAAGACACCUCCAUGACCUGUCAUUUAAGAAGCCUUCCCCAAUCUCUGCUUCUCCCAUUCCACAGCACUUCCUUCCCUCCUUUGCAUCCCUUUUUAUGAAGGUAGGGGAUAUCUGUUCAAGAUCCCUCUUCUGAAACCUGGCUGUCCUUACUUCUGUGGUUCCUUCAACAUCUGCUGUGAUUUUUUUUAAGUGGCAGUUCCUUUAUCUUUGUGCCUUCUUCUUGCCACAUUUAACUGGUCUAAAUUGAGGAAAACAAAAAACAAAACAAAACAAACGAAAAAACAAACAAAAACUGCACCAGGCUCUCUCUGGUGGCCAGAAUUGUUGGGAGUUAGUUUGGGGAGAUGUAAGUAAGCUGCCAUGUGCUUCUGCAGAGAAUAGUAGUGCCUAAGCUGGUGAUCAGUGAAAAGGGUGAAAAGGAGGAGAGGAGAGGAAUAAAAUGCUGGCAACAUCCAAGUCCUGCUUCCAGUGGUUUCUGGGUUGAACCUUCUUUGCAUUCCAUGAGCCAAUUUGCCAAUUAGUUACUCGUUGUCUCUUAGUUCCAACCCACCUGUCUGUAGUCUAUAAACUGCCUUUCCCAGACCCCUAUGCCAGCUGGCUCCUUGAUAGCUCCUGGGAGGCACUAGCGAGAGAUAAGAAAGCCCCGGAGGAGCAGGGCCUUCUUUCCUGGUCUCUGGUUGUUAUUAUCAGUGUCUUCCCAUUAGUGACAGUUAACUGUAGCUCUCAGCUUCCGUGGCACUCACUCCCAGUAGCUGAUUUAUCAUGGCCUCUCAGAGGGCUGGAAUGGGAGUUGCCCCUUACUCAAAGUCUGAGCAUCAACUCCACAGCUGCUGCUCGGAGAUCCAGGGUUCUGGAAAUGUCCCCCUUUUGUUUUAGUCCCCUGGCCUGGGGGAGACAGCUUCUUCCUGCAGUUACCAUCUCUGUUCCCUUUUUGCCCUUUCAGCCUUCCAACAUUUGUGAAACUAUUUCCUAAAUAUUAUUCCCUCAGAUAUCUAAUGGUGAUUUCUCUCUUUCUGACACAUACAUUAAA
RNAcentral lists this long non-coding RNA (3822 nucleotides) under Sus scrofa (pig). RNAcentral describes it as "lncRNA (ENSSSCG00065054468.1)". The record is from RNAcentral. Lineage: Eukaryota; Metazoa; Chordata; Mammalia; Artiodactyla; Suidae.